RNAcentral lists this small RNA (22 nucleotides) under Arabidopsis thaliana (thale cress). Its description in RNAcentral is "ATSL159780". The record is from RNAcentral. Lineage: Eukaryota; Viridiplantae; Streptophyta; Magnoliopsida; Brassicales; Brassicaceae.
UUCACCACCUCUCCUUUUCUCA